CCAGGAUCCCAUCCAGAAUACUGCAUUUUGUUGUCGCGUCUAAUCAAGGUUCACAGGCGAAAGGGACUUGUCUCAGAUGACACUUUGGAUUGGACUUUUCAGUUAAUGCUGGAAUGAGUUAAGACUUCAGGGGACUGUCAGAAAGGCAUGAUUGGUUUUGAAAUGUGAAAAGAACAUGAGAUUUGGGAGGCGUCAGGAUGGAAUA
RNAcentral lists this long non-coding RNA (205 nucleotides) under Homo sapiens (human). RNAcentral describes it as "HSALNT0196675". The record is from RNAcentral. Lineage: Eukaryota; Metazoa; Chordata; Mammalia; Primates; Hominidae.